Molecule: ribosomal RNA, 301 nt
Filed under: uncultured bacterium
Lineage: Bacteria
Description: partial 16S ribosomal RNA
Rfam family: Bacterial small subunit ribosomal RNA
Source: RNAcentral
CAGUCGCCGCGGUAAUACGUAGGGUGCAAGCGUUAAUCGGAAUUACUGGGCGUAAAGCGUGCGCAGGCGGUUAUAUAAGUCAGAUGUGAAAUCCCCGGACUCAACCUGGGAACUGCAUUUGAGACUGUAUGGCUAGAGUGCGUCAGAGGGGGGUAGAAUUCCACGUGUAGCAGCGAAAUGCGUAGAUAUGUGGAGGAAUACCGAUGGCGAAGGCAGCCUCCUGGGAUAACACUGACGUUGAGGCUCGAAGGCGUGGGGAGCAAACAGGAUUAGAUACCCCCGUAGUCCCUGUCUCUUAUAC